RNAcentral lists this ribosomal RNA (485 nucleotides) under uncultured bacterium. RNAcentral describes it as "bacterial SSU rRNA". It matches the Rfam family "Bacterial small subunit ribosomal RNA", at positions 311 to 788 of the family's 1533-position model. The record is from RNAcentral.
CACUGGAACUGAGACACGGUCCAGACUCUUACGGGAGGCAGCAGUGGGGAAUUUUGGACAAUGGGCGCAAGCCUGAUCCAGCAAUGCCGCGUGCAGGACGAAGGCCUUCUGGUUGUAAACUGCUUUUGUACGGAGCGAAACGGUCUGGGUUAAUACCCUGGGCUAAUGACGGUACCGUAAGAAUAAGCACCGGCUAACUACGUGCCAGCAGCCGCGGUAAUACGUAGGGUGCGAGCGUUAAUCGGAAUUACUGGGCGUAAAGCGUGCGCAGGCGGUUUUGUAAGACAGGCGUGAAAUCCCCGGGCUCAACCUGGGAAUGGCGCUUGUGACUGCAAAGCUGGAGUGCGGCAGAGGGGGAUGGAAUUCCGCGUGUAGCAGUGAAAUGCGUAGAUAUGCGGAGGAACACCGAUGGCGAAGGCAAUCCCCUGGGCCUGCACUGACGCUCAUGCACGAAAGCGUGGGGAGCAAACAGGAUUAGAUACCCU